CCUACGGGUGGCAGCAGUGAGGAAUAUUGGUCAAUGGCCGGAAGGCUGAACCAGCCAUGCCGCGUGAAGGUCAGUGCCCUAUGGGCGUUAAACUUCUUUUGUGCGGGAGCAAUACUGGUCACGUGUGGCCAGACGAGAGUACCGUACGAAUAAGCAUCGGCUAACUCCGUGCAAGCAGCCGCGGUAAUACGGGGGAUGCAAGCGUUAUCCGGAUGUAUGGGGUUUAAAGGGUGGGUAGGCUGUGAUGUAAGGCAGCGGUGAAAUGCCACCGCUCAACGGGGUGAAGUGCCAUUGAUACUGUCUUGCUGGAAUGCUGAUGCCGUGGGAGGAAUGUAUGGUGUAGCGGUGACAU
This 352-nucleotide ribosomal RNA is filed under the name uncultured bacterium. RNAcentral describes it as "partial 16S ribosomal RNA". It matches the Rfam family "Bacterial small subunit ribosomal RNA", at positions 338 to 687 of the family's 1533-position model. The record is from RNAcentral.